GGAACCUGCUCACAGACUCAUCAUGAUGAAGCUGACUCUGUCCGUCCAUCUCAUCUGGAUUCUCCUCAGCUCUGGUAACGUCACUCUUUCCACUUUAUUUAGACAUUGAAUGAAAACCUGAAAUUAGUUUAAAAGAAGUUUUGUAGAUAUAACACGUCUUUUUUCUCCUGAAACACAUCCUACUGGUCUUCUGCUGUACAGUCCAGAUAAGCUGAUGUGAGUAGAAACAGUAGAGCAGAGAAGAACAAAAAUUGAGUGAUUAAAAUAUUUAAAGGGGUCUAAUCUAAGGAUCUGUAGUUUUAAUGACAGGAUAGAUCAUUUUAAAAAGGAAGGCAGAUUUAGAGAAACUACAUCCAGAACUUUGCUGGUUAAAAAUAAAAAAAUUCUGUUUAGUUGAGUUCAAUCUUGAUCAUAUUGACUUUAUUCAGACACUGAUUGUGACGCCACAGCACACACCACAACAUUAUUAUUAAACCGGCAUGUCUGUCAAACUAUCAUCCAAAAGGGUCACCACAAUCAACAUGAUAUGAAAACUCAAAAUAAUCACAAGUUUAUUCAUCUCCGUCUCUACAGCUGAAGCUCUGAAGUGUUACCAAAAAUCUUGGGAAUCGGGCUGGGAGGACCCAACGUCCUGUGCUUCUCCUGAUGAGCUGUGUGCAGGAAUUGCAGAAGGUUAGAUGUGCAGGAGGGUUAAUGUGUCCUUGAGUCGUUUACUGAGUCUGUUUCAGAUAACCUCUUCUACCAUAGUUUUAAUCCUGUCAUUAUUUGUGUUCAGACUCGGAGAUGAUGUUGAUACCCCCUAUGCACGUAAAAGUAGGAAACUGUACGCCGCCCUCCCUAUGCUCUGCAAUUGAGCGACAAAUUUCAUACACUUUUGGUUCAUUAAGAGUGGCUCUCACUGGUUACUGCUGCAAUACAGACGGCUGCAACAACAGAAAUGUCACUUGUAAGUAUUUUGGCUCAUCUCCUUGCUAAACCACUCUUUCUGAAACGUUCCCUGCUAAUUGCUGAUCCUCUUCUUUUCUCCAUCUGUGUUGAUGCUCUCACCUGUAACCUUACUUUGCAACCAGAGUUUUGAAUUUCACAUUUAUGUGUACUUACACAGAUAAAACUUGCAGUACUCUCCAGAAGAGAAACUUGUGUCCUUCUGUUUCAGUGCCUGAUGUGCAGACACGAAAUGGCCUGCAGUGUUUGACCUGUUCAGGUCCACUGGGCACUGUCUGUGACACCAUAGUUCAGUGUGUUGGGAUUCAG
RNAcentral lists this long non-coding RNA (1254 nucleotides) under Xyrichtys novacula (pearly razorfish). The record is from RNAcentral. Lineage: Eukaryota; Metazoa; Chordata; Actinopteri; Labriformes; Labridae.